AUUGAACGCUGGCGGCAGGCCUAACACAUGCAAGUCGAACGGUAACAGAAAGCAGCUUGCUGCUUUGCUGACGAGUGGCGGACGAGUGAGUAAUGUCUGGGAAACUGCCUGAUGGAGGGGGAUAACUACUGGAAACGGUAGCUAAUACCGCAUAACGUCGCAAGACCAAAGAGGGGGACCUUCGGGCCUCUUGCCAUCGGAUGUGCCCAGAUGGGAUUAGCUAGUAGGUGGGGUAACGGCUCACCUAGGCGACGAUCCCUAGCUGGUCUGGGAGGAUGACCAGCCACACUGGAACUGAGACACGGUCCAGACUCCUACGGGAGGCAGCAGUGGGGAAUAUUGCACAAUGGGCGCAAGCCUGAUGCAGCCAUGCCGCGUGUAUGAAGAAGGCCUUCGGGUUGUAAAGUACUUUCAGCGAGGAGGAAGGUGUUGUGGUUAAUAACCACAGCAAUUGAUGUUACUCGCAGAAGAAGCACCGGCUAACUCCGUGCCAGCCGCCGCCGUAA
Molecule: ribosomal RNA, 506 nt
Filed under: uncultured bacterium
Lineage: Bacteria
Description: partial 16S ribosomal RNA
Rfam family: Bacterial small subunit ribosomal RNA
Source: RNAcentral